UAGUAUUUAAAAUUUUAGUUGUCCACAUAAACUUGAGACCCAACCUGAACUCCUGGAAUUAUGGUGUAUGUCUCGGGGUUUUGGUCUACUGGAACUGUAACAUAUUAUGUAUUACCUAUACAAUGUUAGAGAUGUUCAAAAUAAUUUAAACUAAUUCACCUUCAUUUUCCCUGUCGGACAAGAUCUCAUCAUCAGAACCACUACUUACUGAUGCUGCGUCACCAUCAAUGUUUGGAUAAAUAACUAAAAAAAAAUGAAAUUCGUUAAAUUAAUUUAUAACACUAAUAUGUUGUAUAUAUAAUGCAGUGUAAAGUACCUGGUAAACAAUAAUCAUGGUCUUGUAAAUGUGAAGGUCUGUCAACUUGUUCAACAUUCAUUUUUAUAACUAUUAACUUAAGCACUUAGGUACACGUUUUAAAUUAUUUUCUUUUUAAUAAACACUUGUUGAAUGUAAAGCAAAUUAUAAAAUAGAAAAAGAAAUAACCCAAAAACGAUAUUCUCUGAUUGUACAAAUUGUUGAAAUAAAAACAAAAUAUAAACUAAAAAUAGAACCAAGUCUGUAUUAUGAUCAUAUAGAUUUUCACUAUCACCUAUUAUCAAUAUUCUUUUAAACACAAAAAUACAGCAUUUCAUUAAAC
This is a long non-coding RNA of Aphis gossypii (cotton aphid), 638 nucleotides long. RefSeq lists it as uncharacterized. The record is from RefSeq and is a predicted model, not a curated record. The transcript has 2 exons. Lineage: Eukaryota; Metazoa; Arthropoda; Insecta; Hemiptera; Aphididae.